CUCUUCUUCUUCUUCUUCUUCUUCUUCUUCUUCUUCUUCGCUUUUCCUUCGGUUCUGGAGCGAUGGCCGGAAAUCCAUCUCGGGGGGCUCGGUCGGGAAAUCCGACCGAUGACUCUCGGUCGACUCCGGAAGUUGAGGUUUCCUCGCUUUCGGGGCCGAACGUUGAUCGGCUUCGGGAGCAGUAUCGCAUCCCGGAGCAGUUUCAACUCUCCGCCCCAGGGGUCGGCGGUCGGGUUAACAACCCUCC
RNAcentral lists this long non-coding RNA (247 nucleotides) under Elaeis guineensis (African oil palm). Its description in RNAcentral is "long non-coding RNA (EGUI_LNC028573)". Lineage: Eukaryota; Viridiplantae; Streptophyta; Magnoliopsida; Arecales; Arecaceae. The record is from RNAcentral.